UACAGAGGGUGCGAGCGUUGUCCGGAAUCACUGGGCGUAAAGGGCGCGUAGGUGGUGGCUUAAGCGUGCGGUGAAAGCUCGGAGCUCAACUCCGAGUCGGCCGUGCGAACUGGGCUCACUGGAGCAUAGUAGAGGCAGGUGGAAUUCCGGGUGUAGCGGUGGAAUGCGUAGAGAUCCGGAAGAGCACCGGUGGCGAAGGCGGCCUGCUGGGCUAUGGCUGACACUGAAGCGCGACAGCGUGGGGAGCAAACAGG
This 254-nucleotide ribosomal RNA is filed under the name uncultured bacterium. RNAcentral describes it as "partial 16S ribosomal RNA". It matches the Rfam family "Bacterial small subunit ribosomal RNA", at positions 524 to 776 of the family's 1533-position model. The record is from RNAcentral.